RNAcentral lists this ribosomal RNA (484 nucleotides) under uncultured bacterium. RNAcentral's name for it is "partial 16S ribosomal RNA". It matches the Rfam family "Bacterial small subunit ribosomal RNA", at positions 29 to 507 of the family's 1533-position model. The record is from RNAcentral.
AUUGAACGCUAGCGGGAUGCUUUACACAUGCAAGUCGAACGGCAGCGCGGACUUCGUUCUGGCGGCGAGUGGCGAACGGGUGAGUAAUGUAUCGGAGCGUGCCCAGUAGCGGGGGAUGACUACGCGAAAGCGUAGCUAAUACCGCAUACGCCCUACGGGGGAAAGCAGGGGAUCGUAAGACCUUGCACUAUUGGAGCGGCCGAUACCGGAUUAGCUAGUUGGUGAGGUAACGGCUCACUAAGGCGACGAUCAGUAGCUGGUUUGUGUGGACGACCAGCCACACUGGAACUGAGACAAGGCCCAGACGCCUACGAGAGGCAGCAGUGGGGAACUGUGGACAAUGGGGGCAACCCUGACCCAGCAAUCCCGCGUGUGAGAUGAAGGCCUUCGGGUUGUAAAGCACUUUUGGCAGGAAAGAAACGCCGCGGGCUAAUACCCCGUGGAAGUGACGGUACCUGCAGAAUAAGCACCGGCUAACUACGUG